This is a long non-coding RNA of Aphidius gifuensis, 3901 nucleotides long. RefSeq lists it as uncharacterized. The transcript has 3 exons. Lineage: Eukaryota; Metazoa; Arthropoda; Insecta; Hymenoptera; Braconidae. The record is from RefSeq and is a predicted model, not a curated record.
UACUACUCUUACUUUUGACAAUACAGUGGCUGAAUGCUGCUGGGUUCGAUGGCAGUAACAACGAAUAACGAAAUAGAGCAACUGUGGGUAAAAACAGACGCUUGCGCAACAUAGGCUCAGUCAGCGUUUUCUACACAUAGACUGGUAUAGCCCGAAGUAAACAUAUAUGUGCUAUAAAAGACAAAGAUAUAUGCUAUAAGUGAAAGCUUGAAGCAACAUCGGAUAAAAGCGCUGGUAGCAGCAUUAACUGAAAAAUAUGUACAUAAAGCUGCAUAAAGUCUACGUGAUCAAAUACAUGUGCCCGACAAGAAAACGGCAUAGGGAGGGUUUUUGAGGAGGUUUCCUGAUGCGUUCCGGACUAGGUUGCCUGAUCUGGAUCGAAUUUGAAAUCAGAUUGACUUAAAUUCCGAUUUGUGAAUACAAGAUUUCUUGUAUUGUAGCGAGUUUUCGUGGUUGCUAAAUUUCAUAUUUUUUCAAUAGUGUGAUAAUUUGGUUAUGUAUCCCCGGUAGAAUUCUGUGAGAUUCAAAUAAGUUUCGAUCCAUUCGUUAUAGCUAAUUUCAAAGGCUACAAAGUGGAUACAAUAUAAGUAGACAAAUAACAGCUAAUAAAAUAAACAGCCAUCUAAAAUAGGAACACUUUUGUUUCUAACACAAGUAGGUAACUGUAGAGUCAACGAUUCGAUUUAUUCUAUUUUCGUCCUCUUCUGUAACUAGUAUCAUGAUGACUAUUUUUUAUCUAAAAUAUUGCCCAUAAAAUAGCUAAUAAAUAGGUAAAAAUUACUACUACAUAUUUGUUUUAUUUUAGUGCCCUAGAGGGCACUCGAGUAAAUUUACAGUUAGAGUGGGUAUAAGCAGAGUGAAGCCAUAGAUGAUUUUUACCUCAGAAGUGACGGAAAUCUCUUAUACCAACUCUAUACGGCGAGCACAAAAAUUUGGACCAAUAAAACCCUGUAGCUUCACUCUGCUUAUACCCACUCUAUUUACAGUAGACUGGGUAUAAGCACUGGUUAUACUCUAUUUACAGCAGUCAGUGAAUAAUAUUAUUUAUUUUAUUUUAUUUACAAUCAACAAGAUGACAUAAAAAAAAUAUUUAUUUUCAUUUAAAGAUAAAAAGAUGAAGUGAGUAAAAUUUUAAUAGAAAUAUUUUAUUGAAUCUUAAUUUUCUUUGAUUAAUUUUUUUGUAAACUUUUUUUGCAAAUACUUGAGUGGAAAAUUUUAAGGUUGAAUGUUGUAACUACACUAUCAUAUACCACGCUAAUAUUUUUUUUUUUCAGUUAAAUUUUUAAAUUAAUGAAUUUCAUAUCGAACGGUAAUCUCAAUAUUUUUAAUUUCUGGAGCAUCGAGUCUCAAUGCAGUAUGUUGAUAGAAAGAACAAUGGAAUUUCUCUAUCAUUAGUCAGUAUGCUGAAGUUAUUUGUUUCUGAAAGAGUUGCCAUCAAAUUCGUCGCGCAAAGAAGAACUUCUGAGAAACUGGCCAUGAAUACCACACCAUUUUACUUGUGUUUAAAAGGUGUUAUACUGGAUUAUCGCACUGGAUACAUCGCACGUAUGUUCGAACGUUACGCUAAACGUGCUCUAAUUGACAUCAGAAAUCGAGAUCGACGAUUGAGCUUAAACGACGUCAAUUCGACCUCGAUCCAGGUGGCGUGGCAAUCGCACAUGAUUCUAUAUUAUUUAAAAAAAAAAAUCUCGUUAGAAUUUUUUAAAAAGUUUUAUUGAAAUACGAACGAAAGAUUUUUUUGUCGAGGCAUUCAACUUUUGUCUGGAUAUGUUGUGAAUAUUGAAAAGUACCAAAAAAGUCUUGAAAUUCCAUGCCUUUUAGAGGUAAUUUCCAAAAGUCUUAUUUUGCCAUACUUUUCCAAGAUUUUUAGACAACUCUGAAAAAGUAUUGAUUUUGGCAACCAUCAGGAUUGCUCUUACUUCAAAACUCUAAGUCUUAUUUUUUAAGACUUCUUCCGUACCUAAAAUUUUCAUUCGGGGAAUUGGUUAGCUUUUAUUAAAGCUAAGGAAAAAUCUAGCAGCUGAGUAAAAUAGCUAAGUAAAGUAAAGUAAGUAAAGUGGCUAAGUAAAUGAUCUAGCUUUGGGUCCCUUUAACUUGGCAAAACUCGAUAAAAUAUAAAAAGAACCACGAAUAGUAGAAGUGCCAUAAUGGACGAUGAGUGACGUCCCUCACCAUGGGGUGAAACGGGCCUGCAUUUGAAUAUUGCGUCUAAGGUUACUAGUGUGCUGACAACUUGACGAAUUUCUCAAUUGAUAUCUCAGUAAAAUAUUUACAUUAUAAACUUUUAUUCACAGUAUUCUAUGCUAACUUUAGAUAAAUACGCCCCAACUAAGAUGAAAUUUAGAUUGUAGCAUUUUAUUUUUGAUGUAAUUAAGUUAUAAGUAACAAUUAAAUUAUAUCUUAUUAUUCAAAUUAACAAAUUAUUAUUAUUUUUUUUUUUUGAAUUGAUAGUUGAAAAAAACAACACACAUUUAAUUUGUUUAUUUAUAAUUUCAUUAAAGUUGAAACUAAAAGAUAUUUCCCGUUAUUGCUUUUUUGAUUUUUUGGUCUCAAAUGGAUGCCAAAUAAUAAUCUAGUUCGAUAAAUUUUUUCAAAAUUUUCAUGGUUGUUUUUUUAAGAUAAUUGAUUUGAAUUAAUCAAGACUAUAAAUUAAUUUAUUUGGCUACAUCCUUUCCUUAGAUAAAUUUGCCAUAGUGAUGCCGCGAGACGAGAGUCUGCUCUCUCUCGUCUCGUUUCGAGUUUGAAAGAUUGUCUCUCGUCUCGAAUAUUCUCAUCUCUCGUCUCGUCUCGUCUUCUCUCGGUCAACAAUUUAUUCUUAGUAGUUUUUUUUACAAUAUAUAAAUAAUAGAUUUAUUACUUCGAAUUUAUCAUAAACUUUUUUUUAAUUUUUUAAUACAAAUUAUUUAUGCUUAGAUAUUAUUUGGUUAUUUCAGUAAUUUUUCUGCGAAAAACAAAUAUAAUAUGGAGAAUAAAUAUAUGUUAUCUACUGUACUACAAAAAAACAAGAAGCCAUAUAAAUCAUAUUACAAUCAACAUUGAUGGAAAAAAACAAAAAUCACUGAACCAAAAAAAAUCUUAUUGAAAACAAGUAAUAUGAAACGGGUCAGAAAUGUGUCAUAAGUAGAUUGAAAAUAUAUAAAAACUAAAAAAAUAAAAACAAGAACUAAAUUAUUUGUCUCUCGAGUUUUCUCUCGCAUAUCGACAUCGGUGUCUCGUCUCGUCUUGUCUCUCGCGACGAGAGAAAAUUCGUCUCUUGUCUCGAAUUUUAUCGUCUCUCAUCACCUCUCUCUCUCGUCUCGUCUCGAGUUCUGUCGCCUAUCGCGGCAUCACUAAUUUGUCAUAAAUAAUCAAUUAGAAAGAUAGUGGCAAAUGUUGCUAAGGAAAGGAUGUAGACAAAUAAAUUAAUUUGUAGUCUAGGUUAAUUCUUCAGCCAUUUUACACAAUUAUUUUAAUUUUUUAUGGCAAAUAUUGCUAUGGAAUUACUAAUUGCUUGAAGAUUACUAAUUAAUUUAUCUGAUUACAUCUUUUUCCUAGAUAUAUUCGCUAUAAUAAAUUAAAGGAAAGCUAUUGGCAAAUGUACCUAAAGAAAUAAUGUAGCCAAAUUGAUUGAUUUGUAAUCUUUAUUUGAUGGAAGUGUCCUAAGCUCUAUUUGCCAUAAUAAAUCAAAAUUAUUAGGUGAAUACAUCCCAGGUUAAAAUUAGUCUCGAAAUUCAACACUGAAUCUCGUUUUGACGUCGAAGACUGAGCUCGAUUCUAUGUAGAUAUACACUAUUCGACGUCGGAACGAGGUUGAGGGGAGGUUACAACGAGGCGAAAAAUAAAACAUGCACGAAAAGACUUAAUUAAUUAAUAUUAUGAUAAAAGAUCAAUAGUAUUGAUUGAAUUGAACAUAAAAAUGAUA